AUGUGAUCGUCUCUCGCAUAUCAAUAAGCGGAGGAAAAGAAACUAACAAGGAUUCCCCUAGUAACGGCGAGUGAAGCGGGAAGAGCUCAAAUUUGAAAUCUUAAAGGGUUUCCCUUUACGAAUUGUAGUUUAAAGAGAGUGUUUUCUGUUGAGGUUUUGGUAAAAGUUCUUUGGAAUAGGACAUCAUAGAGGGUGAGAAUCCCGUAUUUGACCUUUACUUUCAACUUUGUGAUACACUUUCAAAGAGUCGGAUUGUUUGGGAAUGCAGUCCAAAAAUGGGUGGUAAAUUUCAUCUAAAGCUAAAUAUUGGCGAGAGACCGAUAGCGAACAAGUACCGUGAGGGAAAGAUGAAAAGAACUUUGAAAAGAGAGUUAAACAGUACGUGAAAUUGUCAAAAGGGAAGCGUUUGACACCAGUGUUGUUUUUCUGAAAAUCAAUUAAAGAACUGUUUAUGCUAAGCUGUUUAGACUUUAUCAGCUAACUGUUUAGUUUUGAGCUUUUCUUUAAUGCACUUUUCAGUUAACAAGUCAACAUCAAUUUCUUUUGCUGUAAAAAAGGCUUGAGGAAGGUGGCUUGAGAUUCGUCUUAAGUGUUUAUAGCCUCUUGCCUAUGCAGUCGGAGAGAUUGAGGUCUGCAGCGUAGAUCCUUCGGGGCUAAAUGCAUUUGUGCUAAGUUAUAGCAUUUUAUAGACAACUUGUUGACUAUGAUUUGUCUUGUAGCUUACUCGCUUAUGUUAUUUUACCUACGCUUAGGAUGUUGAACGCGCACAGAGUCUC
Molecule: ribosomal RNA, 776 nt
Filed under: uncultured Neocallimastigales
Lineage: Eukaryota; Fungi; Neocallimastigomycota; Neocallimastigomycetes; Neocallimastigales
Description: partial large subunit ribosomal RNA
Rfam family: Eukaryotic large subunit ribosomal RNA
Source: RNAcentral